RNAcentral lists this ribosomal RNA (482 nucleotides) under uncultured bacterium. Its description in RNAcentral is "partial 16S ribosomal RNA". It matches the Rfam family "Bacterial small subunit ribosomal RNA", at positions 899 to 1397 of the family's 1533-position model. The record is from RNAcentral.
ACUCAAAUGAAUUGACGGGGGCCCGCACAAGCAGCGGAGCGUGUGGUUUAAUUCGAGGCUACACGAAGAACCUUACCUAGCUUUGCAUGGGAGUGAACGAGGGAGAAAUCCUGAGGUUCGCAAGACACUCUCACUGGUGCUGCAUGGCUGUCGUCAGCUCGUGUCGUGAGAUGUUAGGUUAAGUCCUGUAACGAGCGCAACCCCUGGCAGUAGUUACACGAAGUCUACUGCAACUGCCUGCGUAAGUGGGAGGAAGGUGGGGAUGACGUCAAGUCAGCAUGGCCUGUAUAGCUAGGGCUACACACACGCUACAAUGGUCGGUACAACAGGUUGCCAAGCCGCAAGGCGGAGCUAAUCCUCCAAAGCCGAUCUCAGUUCAGAUUGUGGGCUGCAACCCGCCCACAUGAAGUCGGAGUUGCUAGUAACCGUGCGUCAGCCAUAGCGCGGUGAAUACGUUCCCGGGCCUUGUACACACCGCCCGU